UAUGGCACUGGUAGAAUUCACUGUGUGGUUGUGGGUUCAGUGAAUUGCCAUCGGGCCAUACA
This 62-nucleotide microRNA precursor is filed under the name Petromyzon marinus (sea lamprey). Its description in RNAcentral is "Pma-Mir-96-P3o1_pre stem-loop". It matches the Rfam family "mir-183 microRNA precursor family", at positions 8 to 67 of the family's 74-position model. The record is from RNAcentral. Lineage: Eukaryota; Metazoa; Chordata; Hyperoartia; Petromyzontiformes; Petromyzontidae.